RNAcentral lists this ribosomal RNA (240 nucleotides) under uncultured bacterium. RNAcentral describes it as "partial 16S ribosomal RNA". It matches the Rfam family "Bacterial small subunit ribosomal RNA", at positions 29 to 250 of the family's 1533-position model. The record is from RNAcentral.
AACGAACGCUGGCGGCGUGGAUAAGACAUGCAAGUCGAACGGGAAUGAACGGGUAGCAAUAUUCGGACAUUCUAGUGGCGAAAGGGUGCGUAACACGUAGACCAUCUACCUCUAAGUGUGGGAUAGCUCGGCGAAAGCCGGAUUAAUACCGCAUGUGGCUUAGGAACGCAUGUUCCGAAAGUUAAGCCGGGGACCGUAAGGCCUGGCGCUUGGAGAUGAGUCUGCGGCCUACAGCUUGUU